AUGAACGCUGGCGGCGUGCCUAAUACAUGCAAGUCGCGCGAACAGACGAGGAGCUUGCUCCUCUGACGUUAGCGGCGGACGGGUGAGUAACACGUGGAUAACCUACCUAUAAGACUGGGAUAACUUCGGGAAACCGGAGCUAAUACCGGAUAAUAUAUUGAACCGCAUGGUUCAAUAGUGAAAGACGGUUUUGCUGUCACUUAUAGAUGGAUCCGCGCCGCAUUAGCUAGUUGGUAAGGUAACGGCUUACCAAGGCAACGAUGCGUAGCCGACCUGAGCGGGUGAUCGGCCACACUGGACCUGAGACACGGUCCAGACUCCUACGGGAGGCAGCAGUAGGGAAUCUUCCGCAAUGGGCGAAAGCCUGACGGAGCAACGCCGCGUGAGUGAUGAAGGUCUUCGGAUCGUAAAACUCUGUUAUUAGGGAAGAACAAAUGUGUAAGUAACUAUGCACGUCUUGACGGUACCUAAUCAGAAAGCCACGGCUAACUACGUG
Molecule: ribosomal RNA, 496 nt
Filed under: uncultured bacterium
Lineage: Bacteria
Description: partial 16S ribosomal RNA
Rfam family: Bacterial small subunit ribosomal RNA
Source: RNAcentral